GACGAACGCUGGCGGCGUGCUUAACACAUGCAAGUCGAACGAAGCUUGAGUACGGAUUCUUCGGAUGAAGUAUGAUAUGACUGAGUGGCGGACGGGUGAGUAACGCGUGAGUAACCUGCCCUUCAGAGGGGGAUAGCGUUUGGAAACGAACGGUAAUACCGCAUAAUGUAUUUUGACCGCAUGAUCGAAAUACCAAAGAUUUAUCGCUGAAGGAUGGACUCGCGUCUGAUUAGGUAGUUGGUGGGGUAACGGCCUACCAAGCCGACGAUCAGUAGCCGGACUGAGAGGUUGAUCGGCCACAUUGGGACUGAGACACGGCCCAGACUCCUACGGGAGACAGCAGUGGGGAAUAUUGCACAAUGGGCGCAAGCCUGAUGCAGCAACGCCGCGUGAAGGAAGACGGUUUUCGGAUUGUAAACUUCUGUUCUUAGUGAAGAAUAAUGACGGUAGCUAAGGAGCAAGCCACGGCUAACUACGUG
This 479-nucleotide ribosomal RNA is filed under the name uncultured bacterium. RNAcentral describes it as "partial 16S ribosomal RNA". It matches the Rfam family "Bacterial small subunit ribosomal RNA", at positions 28 to 507 of the family's 1533-position model. The record is from RNAcentral.